This 541-nucleotide ribosomal RNA is filed under the name Rhodococcus sp. KNF1. Its description in RNAcentral is "bacterial SSU rRNA". It matches the Rfam family "Bacterial small subunit ribosomal RNA", at positions 338 to 873 of the family's 1533-position model. Lineage: Bacteria; Bacillati; Actinomycetota; Actinomycetes; Mycobacteriales; Nocardiaceae. The record is from RNAcentral.
CCUACGGGAGGCAGCAGUGGGGAAUAUUGCCCAAUGGGCGAAAGCCUGAUGCAGCGACGCCGCGUGAGGGAUGCCGGCCUUCGGGUUGUAAACCUCUUUCAGCAGGGACGAAGCGCAAGUGACGGUACCUGCAGAAGAAGCACCGGCUAACUACGUGCCAGCAGCCGCGGUAAUACGUAGGGUGCAAGCGUUGUCCGGAAUUACUGGGCGUAAAGAGUUCGUAGGCGGUUUGUCGCGUCGUUUGUGAAAACCAGCAGCUCAACUGCUGGCUUGCAGGCGAUACGGGCAGACUUGAGUACUGCAGGGGAGACUGGAAUUCCUGGUGUAGCGGUGAAAUGCGCAGAUAUCAGGAGGAACACCGGUGGCGAAGGCGGGUCUCUGGGCAGUAACUGACGCUGAGGAACGAAAGCGUGGGUAGCGAACAGAUUAGAUACCCUGGUAGUCCACGCCGUAACGGUGGGCGCUAGUUUGGGUUCCUUCCCGGGAUGCCGUGCCUACCUAAGUCUGCCUCGCCCCGCCGCCCCCGGGACCCGCACUGAUC